This 89-nucleotide non-coding RNA is filed under the name Paenibacillus darwinianus. Its description in RNAcentral is "c-di-GMP sequence". It matches the Rfam family "c-di-GMP-I riboswitch aptamer". From Rfam's summary of the family: GEMM was predicted in a large-scale screen for bacterial structured RNA regulatory elements. Genes associated with GEMM are involved in a diverse array of functions, including chemotaxis regulation, signal transduction, secretion and chitin. The record is from Rfam by way of RNAcentral. Lineage: Bacteria; Bacillati; Bacillota; Bacilli; Caryophanales; Paenibacillaceae.
AACCGAUAAAGGCAUACCUGCCGAAAGGCAGGGACGCAAAACCUCAGGCCUACGGAGUCAAAUCAUUCUAUGGCGGCUGGGUUACCGAA